AAAUAUACAUAUUCUCCGACAACGAUGUUACCGAUAGCGACGAGUAUAAUAACAACAAGGUUAUCUCCCUUAUGCAUAUACGUAAUUUCCGGUUAGUAAUUGACAAACAAGAAAUUUUCAAACAUUUACGUUUUUGUCUUCAUUUGCUGCUUUUCGAGGAUGCUUCUGUCGAGUUUUGACAGGACAGUUUCCAUGUUACCUGCCCGGCCCCCUCCAUUACAGUUGGGACAUUGCCUGCCAGUCUUCUUCCCCAAUCAUGCCCAACCGAUUGGUCCAAUAUUGUUCAAAACUUGAUGGAAAUGCAGUGUCAUCGUAGUUUGGAGUAUGUGCAGAGCACUCGGGACAACAAGCAGUUUAUUUCUUCGAUGAGACUGAAUUAAAAGGGAGCAGGCACUGUUGUGAGCAUGAUGAUCACUACUUCAAGUACCAUGGCUUGGAGAAGAAAAGCCGAAAUUGGCACUUUGUCUUAGCAGCAAACAUGCCUGGCUUUGUGCAGUGCAGGUUUGCUGCAUCGGUGAGGGUGUAGUUUACCUUGAUGAAAACCAGAGCAGUUGUGUACCCUGAACUCCUUUCCAAAAUCUGCAUCAAGGGGAUGGAUCUUGAAUGGCAGUGGUAUUAACAUGACAAGAUCAGAGAAUACAGCAGAUUUGACAUUGAUAAAGACAGUGCGCCCUAGACAGUCUCAACCAAAGCAUUAAACUGUACAACCUGUUAAUUAACUUUUUAGAGUUGUUUGUUUGGACUAGUGUUUGACAUUCAGAAAUAAGUAAUAACAUUAUUUCUCAGUACAAGAAAUCUGUAGGAAUUAGAAGCUGACAUUUACUGCUACUAUAUAAACAAACCUCUUAGAGGUUUAGCCAGGUUAAAGAAAGACAGGGAGCCACAGAAAAGAUACAGGUUUCCAUGUGUCAAUAGGACACCCUUCAUUUAGCUGUGAAGAAUUUUAACAUUUUGAAUGUUACAGAAAAUGUUAGGAAUAUUGUAUAAUGCUUAAUUGAAGUACUAAUAGGUUUCAAGUGCCAAAUAUUUAAAGCCUGUGUGUAUUUAUAAUCUUAUGAAUAUAAAGUUGUUAUCAAAACAAAAUCAAUAUUUGACUGUCUUAAGCUUUUAAUUCUAAGGCAGGAGGUUGCCAAUCUUACUCUUCAUGACGGGUGCUUCCAAAAAAGAACAGGGGGCAGAAACCUUCCAUAACUCUUGCUAGAACCCUAAUAUCCUUUUUUCAUCAAAUUACAGUAACAUUGACAAUUAACAAAUGAUGCAGUGAUAUUUUUUUAUGCUAAUAUCAUCAAUUUUUAUUGUCAUUAAGUUUUCUUCUAGAAUUGAUUUGUACAUGUAAUGUAUUGAAAAUUGAUACUUGUGGUUGCCAUGGUUACAACUUGUUUCUUAGUGUAGUAAUAUGUUUUAUACAUAUAAAUACAAUAUUGCAUUAUGUAAACUUAUAAUAUUUUAAGAAAUAAUGAUUCAAACACAUGUACAGACACAAUAAAUACACUACUUUGUAUUUUUGUUGCCAUGGCAAUGAUUCUGUGUAUAUUUGUUACAUUUAUUGUUUUUUAUUACAGGAUUGUCCAUUAGUGAAAUUAUAAUGUGUAUAAUAAGCAUAGCUACAAAAUGCAUAGAUACAUGAAAAUACCUAUUUAUGGAUGUACAUUUUCUUCAUAUUUCGAUAAUAGAAUAUGUUUUGUACACUGACCCCCCUUGGACUUAAAUCACCGUAGCAACAAAGUCUUAAACAUUUUGAAUAUUUUUUUUUAAAUAUAUUUGUAAAGUGUCUGCCAAUGCUUAGGUUAUUUGAGUACUUUUUAAGAGCGGCGUGUGUGAUCCCUUUUACCUUUAAAGUGACACUCUUAUUCAAAAUCAAUACAUACACAUGUAUAACAAACAUAAAUUUUGACUGAUAUACAUUUAACUACUUACCAAAUAAUGCAUUUAUGGAAAAUAUUAUUUACUGAUAACAAGGUUGUAACCGUGUAUUAAAUAGCAGAAACCGCAAAAAUAUUAAAUGAUUGGUGAAUGCUAAAAGAUUUACCGUGGUCUUCUAUAGUCUUAUAAGGUAGGAAUACCGUGUUUUAUGCUCAUUUCUUUCAAAUUAAACUCAGUAUCCUUCAUAAGAACCAUUGUUUUCGACACUUAUAUCUUUUUUUGGAAUAUAAAAAAACAAUAUUAUUUAUUGCUUUAAAUCUUUUUUGGGAGUAAGAGUGCAUCUUUAAUAUUCAAUUGCAUCGUAUUGUGGUUGUCAUGGUAACAUUUUGAUUGCCAUUUAAAACUUCAAUCAUAAUUUUACAAGAAUUUUGUCACUAGUUCAAUAAUAUGUU
Molecule: long non-coding RNA, 2315 nt
Organism: Mya arenaria
Lineage: Eukaryota; Metazoa; Mollusca; Bivalvia; Myida; Myidae
Exons: 4
Source: RefSeq, a predicted model, not a curated record